GAUGAACGCUGGCGGCGUGCUUAAUACAUGCAAGUCGAGCGAACGGACGAGAAUCUUGCUUCUUUGAUGUUAGCCGCGGACGGGUGUGAAACACGUGGAUAAUCCCCCUAUAAGACUGGUAUAAUUUCGGGAAACCGGAGAUAACACCGGAUAAUAUUCUGAAGCGUAUGGGUGAAAAGUAAAAGACGGCCUUGCUGGCUCUUAUCGAUGGAUCCGCGCUGCAUUAGCUGGUUGGUACGGUAACGGCUUACCAAGGCAACGAUGCAUAGCCGACCUGAGAGGGUGAUCGGCCACACUGGAACUGGGACGCGGACCAGACUCCUGCGAGAGGGCGCAGUAGGGAAUCUUCCGCAAUAGGCGAGAACCUGGCGGAACAGCGCCGCGUGAGUGACGAAGGUCUUCCGAUCGUGAAGCUCUGUUAUUGGGGAAGAACAUAUGUGUAAGUAGCUGUGCCCAUCUUGACGGUACCUAGUCAGAAAGCCACGGCUAACUACGUG
RNAcentral lists this ribosomal RNA (497 nucleotides) under uncultured bacterium. Its description in RNAcentral is "partial 16S ribosomal RNA". It matches the Rfam family "Bacterial small subunit ribosomal RNA", at positions 28 to 507 of the family's 1533-position model. The record is from RNAcentral.